GGGGUUGUGGUUCAGUGAUAGAGCAUUUGCCUGCCAUGUAUAAGGCACUGGGUUCAAUUCUCAGCACCA
Molecule: transfer RNA, 69 nt
Filed under: Ictidomys tridecemlineatus (thirteen-lined ground squirrel)
Lineage: Eukaryota; Metazoa; Chordata; Mammalia; Rodentia; Sciuridae
Description: Spermophilus tridecemlineatus (thirteen-lined ground squirrel) tRNA
Rfam family: tRNA
About the family: Transfer RNA (tRNA) molecules are approximately 80 nucleotides in length. Their secondary structure includes four short double-helical elements and three loops (D, anti-codon, and T loops).
Source: Rfam by way of RNAcentral